RNAcentral lists this ribosomal RNA (33 nucleotides) under Borreliella burgdorferi (Lyme disease spirochete). RNAcentral's name for it is "partial 16S ribosomal RNA". Lineage: Bacteria; Pseudomonadati; Spirochaetota; Spirochaetia; Spirochaetales; Borreliaceae. RNAcentral also lists the same sequence under 4 other names. The record is from RNAcentral.
CGUACUGGAAAGUGCGGCUGGAUCACCUCCUUU